UUCAACUUUUGAGACGAAAUGGUACCACCGGAAAGCUCUGCAAAUUCUUUCCAUUAAAAAAUUAUGAAAGGAGACUCAGGCCGCCGAUGAUCUCUUGGGUGCGAUUCACGACUUUCCAUUAAAAAAUCACGAAAGGAGAAUCUAAAGAGAAACUGUCCCCAGUUUUGUUAGAUGCUUUGUUAUUUCUCGUCAGCUUUUUGCAACAUCAUUGCCUAACGACCUAAUCUAUUCACAGCUCCACACUACAAUUAAAUGAUCCUUCCUAUUAGCAAGAUUGUCGGCAUGUCAUGGUGUAAUAUAGUCAGUGACUCAGUGCCUCCGAUCACGCCACCUUCCAUGCCUACUACGGUCCCGGUGCCCAGUGUACCGGUGUCUUGACCAGUCAGGUGGUCUACUAGAAUUGCGACCAUAAUCCCCUUCUGGGCUCAGAAAAAUUCUGUCCGAACAGGUACUCUGGGGACCUCACUGGACUCUUCUCCGGGCUCCACAUUUCAAGUUCUGGCUCACCGGCAAAUUUGUUUGUCUCCCAGCGUGGACCAAGAGACAUCAAGGGAGGCUGUACGACAAACGCAUUAUAAUUGCUUUGGUUAGCGUGAACAAAGGGGAUUGAUACAGAACCCUGCCCAUCCAUUAUGAAUCGUCAAACGAGGACCUCAAUGCGUACCAGUCCAAUGCAUCUGGGGGAAGAGAGAGCAGAAAGACAGUUUCUUUCUCUGUCAUCAAGGAACGGAAAACAGAGGAAAUCGAAAAGAAGAAUGGGGAGGAGAGAAAGGGAAAGGAGAAGAAGAGAGAUCUGGGGAGAGAGAGGGAGGACACGAAAAGCAAGAAAUCAGAUUUCGAUACGUUGUGCUUUUUGUGCCUCUAACAUUCAAUAUACUUCCUAACACGUGUGCUUCGACAACCAUUGGAGUCGUAUUCAAGGUCAACUCUCACCGCCCCUCGUAGUCAAAUUGCAUUUCCUCCCCAUUUAAUUUUCUAGUCAUCUUCUUUGGUUAGUUCAUCGGAAAUAACUGUCAUAACUUCAUCGAAUGUGGGAGACUCAGAGGAAUGUUUUAUUUUGUUUUUGUCUUUGUGUUAUUUAAUCCUGUAAGCCUACAUUUGUUAACUCCUAACAUUUUAGGGUUUCAUCUCUGGAUAGUGCGCCAUAAACAACCGAUCUUCACUGGACAAAAGUGACCAUAAAGGGCACAGGCGAACUGACUACUUGUCUUCACGUCCCGGGUACAAAUUGCUGCACGAGCUCCCUAAUAAGGUCCUGAUCUAGAAGAGGCGUUACUUCAUGGUCCGCAACACCGAGGAGUGGCCCUUUCCGACUCACUGGAGGGCAGCCAUCCAAGACCCCGACGUUAGACUGGAUCUGAAGACAAGGGAGGAGGUUCGAUCUUGGGCAGAGCUCGGCCUGAAGUUCGAAAACUUCGUGACCGAGGAGAAGCUUGUGCAGGCCGGCUUAAAUCCUCCUACUUCCAUGGACGACAUCCCUGCUGGCGAACUCUUCAGGAGUAUGAAGGGGAAGAAGAAUAAGAGAACCUCCAAAAAGGCUCGCGUCGAGGCCAAAGCAGCCACAGCUAAGGUUGCCUUUCCUAAGCCCAAACACCCACUAGUUGCCGAGCAGCCUUUCGUAAUCAAUCUGGUCGAGGAGGACUCGAGGAAGGCCACUCCACCCCCAUGCCCGAGGAGGCUACAUCUUCAGAGCCCGUCCCAACAACCACCACUUCUUCAGGCAGUGAUGCUCCAAUUCGGAGCAUUUUGACACCGAAGUUCAACCUUCUCAAGAGCAAGGAUGCGGUGUUCACUAAGGAGGUCACUCGUUGGGCCGACUUGCUAGUUGCUUAGCUCGGGGCCUAGGCGGCCACACACUGUAUGGUGGUGAACUCCUCCAUCCACACCUUGGCUUAUUAGUCUGAAGUGAACCAAAAGCGGGCUCUCGAAGCUGAGGAGUCUUCCCGAAAUGCCCACGCCGAACUGAACUUAGCUCGCAAUGAAAUCAACCAACUGAAGAACGACGCACGAGCUAAGAAGGAGCUACUAACUCUGUUGAUGUCAGAGAAGAAGGAGCUCGAAGAGCGUGAAACGGCAUCGAAGAGGGAGCUCGAGAACCUCGAGGCCCAUGUGAAGGAACAAACCGAACUACUGAUUCAGGCGAUGGAGGAGGUGAAGAUUAAGGUAGUUGAGGAGUACAAGUCCUCAGUGGAGCUUUGGGAAAGGUUGGUCGAGGCAAGGACAGUGGGUUAUCGCAAGGGGUUCAAGCUCAGCCGGUGGAUGACCCGACGUGAAUUGCCCCACCUCGACCUCAGUGCCAUAACCACGUCGAAGAUCACCAAGGAGAUGGCCGUCGAAGCUGCCAAGGACUCGAACUCCGAAGCGGAGAGUGAUGACGACCUGCAUGAUGAUGAGGAGGAGGAGACCGGUGCUGCCGAGGACCGUAUGGAGACAGAUCCUCCUACCAAAGUCUCCUAUAAGGAUGAAGAGCCCCGAACAGAUUGAAGCCUCUUUUCUUGGACCCCCCUUCUUUUGUAAUGCUCAACGUUUCG
This is a long non-coding RNA of Nelumbo nucifera (sacred lotus), 2531 nucleotides long. RefSeq lists it as uncharacterized. NCBI's taxonomy places the organism in Eukaryota, Viridiplantae, Streptophyta, Magnoliopsida, Proteales, Nelumbonaceae. The record is from RefSeq and is a predicted model, not a curated record.